Molecule: unclassified non-coding RNA, 826 nt
Filed under: Hevea brasiliensis (rubber tree)
Lineage: Eukaryota; Viridiplantae; Streptophyta; Magnoliopsida; Malpighiales; Euphorbiaceae
Source: RNAcentral
GAGCCUAUAUGUUCUGCCAAACAUGCUACCAAAAUUUUAAAUAUACACCAGACAGACAUUUAGGACAAUGUAUAUAUCUGAGUCGAAACUGAAUCACUCAGUAACUUAUCGAUAGCUAGUUUAUAUGAUGAUAUUCUCUUCAACACCUUCGCGCAAAAGAAAUUCCGUGGAUUGGCCUUCAAAGACACUGGAUUGCAUAUUCUUUAAUAGUGUAUACUUCACCAACCACUCAAUUGCUUAUGGACCUUUGAGUUCUGUGAGGAUUUCCCACCUUUGUCUUUGUAUGUAUUCCUCGAGGCAAAGUUCCUCUUGCCCCGAUGGGCAGCCUGGAUAGCCUUCUUCCUUUGCUUGCUCAGGCUUUUCUCUAGUUCAGGAUCAUCUUCAGACUCGGCCUCUUCCUCUUCCUCGGGAUCAUUUUCAUCCCCAACUUGAUGGUUAUCGUCGUGCUUAUCAUCCCCAGUUUGAUGAUUAACGUCUUCCUUCGCCAAGUCCAAGGAUUCGAGCUGCUUGACGUUUGUGUUGUUAAUGUCUUCUUCAUCUUCUUCAUCAGCAGUUCCUUCAUCGUCAGAAUCUGAAUGAUUUUCAAGUUCUCCCUCAAUCAACUUUUCAAGCUCAUCUUGAUCCUUUCUCGUAAAACCACUGGCAGCAAGUUCUUUGUCCAAGAAACCGCUGUUCUUGUUUAUUUCAGAAAAUUGGGGGCGACCAACUUCAUUUAUGUCAACCUCCAAACCAUCAGAAUCAUUUUCAUUUUCAUCAAAGGACAUAUUGUACCGCUUUGCAAAGAACUUAUAGAUGCACUCCACAUCACGAUCAAAGUACAUCUGAG